GGUACCUGCUGCCUCUGCACCUGCACCAACUCCUCCUCCAGUAACAAAUGAGUCAACACAGACAGCUUCUAGGUCAAGGAAGAGGGCAGCACCAGCUACAUCAACAGCACCACCACCUCUCAAGAAGAGCAGGACCAACACAUCUUCUGCAACAGUAGUAGCACCUGCCAAGAAGAAGAACACAACUAUUCCUGGCAAUGGAUCAAGGUCUUCUCCAGCAAAGAACACCAGGUCAUCAAGGUCUUCUCCAGCAAAGAACACCAGGUCAGCUACUGCUAAUAGAGCUGGCACUGGAUCUUUCAUUGCUCCUAGACAGGCUACAAGUGUUGUGCAUGAUGGGUCAAAGAGGGUCAGGAAGCCAUCUAAUAGGCUGAAAGAUUACUUUUAUGCAAGUGGCAACUAGCUGAAGUUGUUGAACUCCAAGUGCU
This 428-nucleotide long non-coding RNA is filed under the name Triticum aestivum (bread wheat). RNAcentral describes it as "long non-coding RNA (TAES_LNC001345)". Lineage: Eukaryota; Viridiplantae; Streptophyta; Magnoliopsida; Poales; Poaceae. The record is from RNAcentral.